AGUGAACGCUGGCGGUAGGCCUAACACAUGCAAGUCGAACGGCAGCACAGUAAGAGCUUGCUCUUACGGGUGGCGAGUGGCGGACGGGUGAGGAAUACAUCGGAAUCUACUUUUUCGUGGGGGAUAACGUAGGGAAACUUACGCUAAUACCGCAUACGACCUACGGGUGAAAGCAGGGGAUCUUCGGACCUUGCGCGAUUGAAUGAGCCGAUGUCGGAUGAGCUAGUUGGCGGGGUAAAGGCCCACCAAGGCGACGAUCCGUAGCUCGUCUGAGAGGAUGAUCAGCCACCCUGGAAGUGAGACAGGGCACACACACCUAAGGGAGGAAGCAGUGGGGAAUAUUGGACAAUGGGCGAGAGCCUGAUCCUGCCCUACCGGGUGAGUGAAGAAGGCGUUCGGGUGGGAAAGCCAUUUUGUUGGGAAAGAAGAGCAGCACGUUAAUACCCCGCUGUUCUGACGGUACCCUAUGAAUAAGCACCGGCUAACUUCGUG
Molecule: ribosomal RNA, 492 nt
Filed under: uncultured bacterium
Lineage: Bacteria
Description: partial 16S ribosomal RNA
Rfam family: Bacterial small subunit ribosomal RNA
Source: RNAcentral